CAGAGGGUGCAAGCGUUGUUCGGAAUUAUUGGGCGUAAAGGGCGCGUAGGCGGUGCGGUAAGUCUCUUGUGAAAUCUCCGGGCUCAACUCGGAGUCUGCAAGGGAACUGCCGUGCUUGAGUGUGGGAGAGGUGAGUGGAAUUCCCGGUGUAGCGGUGAAAUGCGUAGAUAUCGGGAGGUAACACCUGUGGCGAAAGCGGCUCACUGGACCACAACUGACGCUGAGGCGCGAAAGCUAGGGGAGCAAACAGGAUUAGAUACCCUGGUAGUCCUAGCCCUAAACGAUGAUUGCUUGGUGUAGCAGGUACCCAAUCCUGCUGUGCCGAAGCUAACGCGAUAAGCAAUCCGCCUGGGGAUACGGUCGCAAGGCUG
This 371-nucleotide ribosomal RNA is filed under the name uncultured organism. RNAcentral describes it as "bacterial SSU rRNA". It matches the Rfam family "Bacterial small subunit ribosomal RNA", at positions 526 to 896 of the family's 1533-position model. The record is from RNAcentral.